Long non-coding RNA from Ailuropoda melanoleuca (giant panda), 406 nucleotides. RefSeq lists it as uncharacterized. The record is from RefSeq and is a predicted model, not a curated record. NCBI's taxonomy places the organism in Eukaryota, Metazoa, Chordata, Mammalia, Carnivora, Ursidae. The transcript is spliced from 3 exons.
UGGAAGCUGUUGGGGUCUGGGAAAGGAGAAUUGCCAGAAAUUGACCAAAGUCAUCUGUGCCCAGCAGUGCUCAGGGCGCUGCCGCAGCCGGUCCCCCAGCGACUGCUGCCACAACCAGUGUGCUGCCGGCUGCACGGGGCCCCGCGAGAGUGACUGCCUGGUCUGCCGCAAGUUCUGGGAUGAAGUCAUGUGCAAGGACACCUGCCCGCCCCUCAUGCUGUACAACCCCACCACCUACCAGAUGGAUGUCAACCCCGAGGGGAAGUACAGCUUUGGUGCCACCUGCGUGAAGAAAUGCCCCCGUGAGUUCAUCACAGGCAAAACCCUUUCCUUGAUCAGGCAUCUAUUUCCUCUUUGUGUCCUACCAGGUCCCCUGAGUCCCUUGUUGUGCAGAGUCUUUGGGUCC